UAUAAGAGGUCUCGCCUGCCCUGUGACUAUAAGUUUAACGGCCGCGGUAUUUUGACCGUGCGAAGGUAGCGCAAUCACUUGUCUUUUAAAUGAGGACCUGUAUGAAUGGCAUCACGAGGGCUUAACUGUCUCCUCUCCCAAGUCAAUGAAAUUGAUCUUUCCGUGCAGAAGCGGGAAUAAACCCAUAAGACGAGAAGACCCUAUGGAGCUUUAGACACUAAAGCAGCUCAUGUUAAGACCCUCGAACAACAGGCUAAACUGAUUGACACCUGCCCUACUGUCUUCGGUUGGGGCGACCAUGGGGAAACAAAAAACCCCCACGCGGAUUGGAAGUAUGCCCUUUUUACACGCCUUCCAGAACCAAGAGCUCCCGCUCUAAGUAACAAAACAUUUGACCCUUAUAGACCCGGCAAAGCCGAUCAACGGACCAAGUUACCCUAGGGAUAACAGCGCAAUCCUCUUCAAGAGUCCCUAUCGCCAAGAGGGUUUACGACCUCGAUGUUGGAUCAGGACAUCCUAAUGGUGCAGCCGCUAUUAAGGGUUCGUUUGUUCAACGAUUAAAGUCCU
Molecule: ribosomal RNA, 567 nt
Filed under: Nicholsina usta (emerald parrotfish)
Lineage: Eukaryota; Metazoa; Chordata; Actinopteri; Labriformes; Labridae
Description: partial 16S ribosomal RNA
Rfam family: Bacterial large subunit ribosomal RNA
Source: RNAcentral